GGGUCAAUGAUAAGAUAUUAUCCUGAAGAGAAGUGAUGACACAAAAAUCAAGCUCAGUUUGAUCACAGUGAGGCCC
Small nucleolar RNA from Cynocephalus volans (Philippine flying lemur), 76 nucleotides. RefSeq annotates it as small nucleolar RNA SNORD115. The transcript has a single exon. Lineage: Eukaryota; Metazoa; Chordata; Mammalia; Dermoptera; Cynocephalidae. The record is from RefSeq and is a predicted model, not a curated record.